RNAcentral lists this unclassified non-coding RNA (3508 nucleotides) under Mizuhopecten yessoensis (Yesso scallop). Its description in RNAcentral is "dNA mismatch repair protein Msh3-like, transcript variant X2". Lineage: Eukaryota; Metazoa; Mollusca; Bivalvia; Pectinida; Pectinidae. The record is from RNAcentral.
AUCCAGAUCAGAUGGCGGCAACAAACAUUUUCUGCAUUAGUUGCAGAAUGUUCUGUGACUGUUAGGUGUACUAUCCAAGUCAUUCACGAUGUCAGCAAGAAAGAGUCUCACCAACCUGAAACCUCUUUCACAUAGAACUAAUGAAUCUAAUGCAAAUGAGAAGAAACAAGUGACAAUCUCGAAAUUCUUUGCAUCAAAAAGUGCGAAAAAUGACUCUGAAUUGGUAAUUAUAGACAAUUCUUCAAGGGAAGGAAGUGCCGAUGAGAAAAAGGUUUCGUCAACAAUAAAGAAACGACGUAGGAAAAAGGUGAACGAUUCUGAUGACAACAGGUCUAAAAAGCAGUGUUUAGAUGAUGGAGGGGCUCAAUUUUCUGAAAAAGAAGCAGAAACAGGACCAUCUUCUGUCAUCAAAGUCGACAGGCUACGGACAGAUGAAGCUUCAAAUGGUGAAAAGUCGACAGAGCGUGAGAAAAAUGAUUCAAGGUCCCAUUGUAUUUCACCAGGGGUAGAGCAUGCAACCUCACUGAGUGAGAAUACAAAACACAAAUUGCAGCAGUUUGAAUCCAGCGUUAAUAAAGAUGGAGAUUCAAAUUCAGGAGAAAUAAUAAGUAUAUCAGAACUAAAACGUAACAGAAACUUACCUGAUAUUUCUUCAGUUUCAAGUAGUUUAUCUAAAGAAAAUGACUUGGAAGCAAGCAAGACUUCAGAUAGUGAUGACGAAUACAACGCACCAGGCACUUCAAAAUCUAUGCCAGCAAGUUCUACGUUGACAAAGAUCAUUCGUAAAAGUAGUUCUACUUUUGCAAGUAACUCCACUUUUGCAAAUAAAACUACUAAAACCCCGACAUCUGCAGGUAAGAAGGGCAAGUACACACCUCUGGAGCAACAAUUUGUGGACAUCAAAGACAAAUGUCCACACGCUGUGUUGUGUGUCGAGUGUGGAUACAGAUACAGAUUCUUUGGACAAGACGCAGAGAUUGCAGCUGAAGUUCUAAAUAUAUUUUGUCAUCUUGACCAUAACUUCAUGACUGCCAGCAUCCCUACUCAUCGACUCUUCGUCCAUGUCCGGAGGCUGGUUGCUGCGGGUUACAAGGUGGGAGUUGUUAAACAGAUGGAAACUGCAGCUUUAAAAGCAGCAGGGGAUAAUCGAAGUGCACCAUUUACUCGAGAGUUAUCUGCCCUUUAUACAAAAUCAACAUUGAUUGGAGAAGAUGUGAACCCACUACUUAAUGUGGAGGACACUGGAGAUUCUUCAUGUGGUACCAGUACUUCCUACCUCAUGUGUGUGUAUGAAGCACCACCGAACAAAAACAGCAAACAGCAUACCACUGCCAUCUUUGCUAUUCAGCCCUCCACUGGGGACGUUGUGUAUGAUAGCUUUGAGGACAAUGCCAUGCAUGGAGAACUAGAGACUCGGUUGUUUCACAUUCAACCAUCAGAAAUCCUCAUCUCUGAUGACCUGCACGAGGACACAGAUAACUUUAUACAGCGGCUAGCGUCCAUCAGCUGCACACCUGAUGACCGUAUGAGAGUAGAGAGGAUAGACGGCCAACAACUAGAGUACAACACUGCCUUCCAGACUGUCUCCAAAUUCUACACAAAUGAAAACAUAGCUGGAAUCAGCCUUCUACAGGAAGUCCUAAGUCUGCCACGUCCAGUCAUUUCCUGUCUGGCCGGAACAAUCUCCUAUCUAUCUGAUUUCAACCUGGACAAGAUCCUUACACUGACCAGCAACUUUACACAGUUUUCUGUGAAGUCAAAGUUUAUGCAGCUUCCCGGUAACACAGUUCGAAAUCUGGAGAUGUUCCAGAACCAGACCAACGGAAGUGAAAGAGGAUCCCUGUUUCGGGUUAUGAACCAGACCGUAUCCAGGUUUGGUGGACGAAUGCUUCGGAUGUGGCUCAGUAGACCUCUACUCUCAGCAUCGGAAAUCAAACAGAGGCAUGCAGCAGUCCAGGAUCUAAUCGAUGGACCAUGUGCUGAAACUAUGGCCAAACUACGGGCAAUCCUCGGCAAAAGUCCCGAUCUGGAAAAGGGACUUGCUUCUAUCUAUCACAAAAAAUGUAGCGUUGUCGAGUUUUACUUAGUAUGUAAAGCACUCAGCCAACUACAGAAGGAUGUCCAGCUUCUGGCUAGAUCACAGUGUCCACAGCUAAACUCUCACCUUCUGAAGACAAUCUUGACCAGUGUGCCUGACCUUCUACAGGACGCUGAAUCAUUUGUGUCAUCCAUCAGGGAAAAGUCGGUCAGAGAUAAUGAAAAGACACAGUUAUUUGCGGAUGAGGGUAAAUUCCCUUUAAUACCAAAGGGGAAACAGGCCAUACAGGAAGUGAUGUCAGAGAUUCAGGCCCACAGACGUGAGGUCCGCUUGGUUCUACGACUUCCUGCACUCGAAUAUGUCACUGUCAUGGGAACAGAGUUUUUGAUUGAGGUGAAAAACAAUUCCGUCCACUUGGUACCGAAGGAUUGGAUUAAAAUCAGCAGCACAAAGGCCGUGAGCAGGUUUCACUCUCCAUUUAUAGAGAAGACUUACCGCAGGCUUCAGCAGCUGCGAGAACAGCUGAAGCUGGACUGUCACCGGGUGUGGCUGGAGUUUCUCAGCUCAUUUGGAGAAAAUUACCAGAGCUACAAAAAGGCUGUGCAACAUCUGGCUACUCUGGACUGUUUGUUUUCAUUGGCAGCCAUUGCUAAACACCAUGACUACUGCAGACCUGAAAUUGUGGAUGAUGAUGAAUUCUGUAUUCACAUUGAAAAUGGGCGACAUCCAAUAAUCCAACAGUUGAUUGGCGAGCAUGAACAGUAUGUCCCUAAUCAUACCAGGUUGUCUAGAGAAUCUGAUAGAGUGAUGAUUAUUACGGGGCCAAACAUGGGAGGGAAAAGUUCCUACAUCAAGCAGGUAGCACUGAUCGCAGUCAUGGCCCAGAUUGGGUCUUACGUUCCUGCCGAAUCAGCCAGGCUAGGGAUUCUAGAUGCUGUUUACACAAGAAUGGGAGCCUCCGAUGAAAUCUACAGCCGACGAAGUACCUUUAUGGUAGAACUACAGGAAGCGUCAGACAUCAUAGCCAAUGCUACCGACCGAUCCCUCGUCAUACUGGAUGAACUAGGUCGGGGGACGAGUACUCACGACGGAACAGCCAUUGCACUUGCUACACUUGACUACUUCAUUCAAAAGGUCAAAUGUCUGUGCCUGUUUGUGACCCAUUACCCAAUGCUGUCUGAGUUUGAACACAAGUUUCCGGGGAUAGUCCAAAACUUCCACAUGUCUUUCUUCUUGGAUGAUGAAGAAGUUAGUGGUGGGCGUGGCUGGGCGGAGUUAUGGCCUCAAUGUCGCACGACUAGCUGGCAUUCCACAUGACAUCAUCCAGCAGGGGGCAUGUCAGUCAAAGUACCUGGAAGCCAAAAUCAUGGAAAGGAGAGAGCAGUUAAAGUUGUUCCAAGCAAUGUUUACAUGCCCGAAGACCGAGAUGGCAGAUAUUUUACAGGAACUACAGAAAAGUGAAGACCAACA